UGAGUAACGCGUGGGUAACCUGCCCUUAAGUCUGGGAUACCAUUUGGAAACAGAUGCUAAUACCGGAUAAAAGCUACUUUCGCAUGAAAGAAGUUUAAAAGGCGGCGUAAGCUGUCGCUAAAGGAUGGACCUGCGAUGCAUUAGCUAGUUGGUAAGGUAACGGCUUACCAAGGCGAUGAUGCAUAGCCGAGUUGAGAGACUGAUCGGCCACAUUGGGACUGAGACACGGCCCAAACUCCUACGGAGGCAGCAGGC
RNAcentral lists this ribosomal RNA (255 nucleotides) under uncultured Lactobacillus sp. RNAcentral describes it as "partial 16S ribosomal RNA". It matches the Rfam family "Bacterial small subunit ribosomal RNA", at positions 107 to 354 of the family's 1533-position model. Lineage: Bacteria; Bacillati; Bacillota; Bacilli; Lactobacillales; Lactobacillaceae. The record is from RNAcentral.